AGGCUUGUAGCUCAGGUGGUUAGAGCGCACCCCUGAUAAGGGUGAGGUCGGUGGUUCAAAGUCCACUCAGGCCUACCA
This 78-nucleotide transfer RNA is filed under the name Klebsiella pneumoniae. RNAcentral describes it as "tRNA-Ile". It matches the Rfam family "tRNA". From Rfam's summary of the family: Transfer RNA (tRNA) molecules are approximately 80 nucleotides in length. Their secondary structure includes four short double-helical elements and three loops (D, anti-codon, and T loops). Lineage: Bacteria; Pseudomonadati; Pseudomonadota; Gammaproteobacteria; Enterobacterales; Enterobacteriaceae. RNAcentral also lists the same sequence under 1 other name. The record is from RNAcentral.